CAGUAGCCGCGGGAAUACGUAGGGUGCAAGCGUUAAUCGGAAUUACUGGGCGUAAAGCGUGCGCAGGCGGUUUGUUAAGACAGAUGUGAAAUCCCCGGGCUCAACCUGGGAACUGCAUUUGUGACUGGCAAGCUAGAGUGUGGCAGAGGGGGGUGGAAUUCCGCGUGUAGCAGUGAAAUGCGUAGAUAUGCGGAGGAACACCGAUGGCGAAGGCAGCCCCCUGGGCCAACACUGACGCUCAUGCACGAAAGCGUGGGGAGCAAACAGGAUUAGAUACCCCGGUAGUCCCUGUCUCUUAUAA
RNAcentral lists this ribosomal RNA (301 nucleotides) under uncultured bacterium. RNAcentral describes it as "partial 16S ribosomal RNA". It matches the Rfam family "Bacterial small subunit ribosomal RNA", at positions 509 to 809 of the family's 1533-position model. The record is from RNAcentral.